This 1468-nucleotide ribosomal RNA is filed under the name Thauera chlorobenzoica. RNAcentral's name for it is "16S ribosomal RNA". It matches the Rfam family "Bacterial small subunit ribosomal RNA". Lineage: Bacteria; Pseudomonadati; Pseudomonadota; Betaproteobacteria; Rhodocyclales; Zoogloeaceae. The record is from RNAcentral.
GGCGGCAUGCUUUACACAUGCAAGUCGAACGCAGCGGGGGCUUCGGCCUGCCGGCGAGUGGCGAACGGGUGAGUAAUGCUCGGAACGUGCCCAUGUCGUGGGGGAUAACGUAUCGAAAGGUACGCUAAACCGCAUACGUCCUGAGGGAGAAAGCGGGGGAUUCUUCGGAACCUCGCGGAUUGGAGCGGCCGAUGUCGGAUUAGCUAGUAGGUGAGGUAAAGGCUCACUAGGCGACGAUCCGUAGCGGGUCUGAGAGGAUGAUCCGCCACACUGGGCUGAGACACGGCCCAGACUCCUACGGGAGGCAGCAGUGGGGAAUUUUGGCAAUGGGGGCAACCCUGAUCCAGCCAUGCCGCGUGAGUGAAGAAGGCCUCGGGUUGUAAAGCUCUUUCGGCCGGGAAGAAAUCGUGGUCUCUAACAUAGCCAUGGAUGACGGUACCGGACUAAGAAGCACCGGCUAACUACGUGCCACAGCCGCGGUAAUACGUAGGGUGCGAGCGUUAAUCGGAAUUACUGGGCGAAAGCGUGCGCAGGCGGUUUUGUAAGACAGAUGUGAAAUCCCCGGGCUCACCUGGGAACUGCGUUUGUGACUGCAAGGCUAGAGUACGGCAGAGGGGGUGGAAUUCCUGGUGUAGCAGUGAAAUGCGUAGAUAUCAGGAGGAACACCAUGGCGAAGGCAGCCCCCUGGGCCUGUACUGACGCUCAUGCACGAAAGCUGGGGAGCAAACAGGAUUAGAUACCCUGGUAGUCCACGCCCUAAACGAUUCGACUAGUCGUUCGGAGCAGCAAUGCACUGAGUGACGCAGCUAACGCGGAAGUCGACCGCCUGGGGAGUACGGCCGCAAGGUUAAAACUCAAAGGAAUGACGGGGACCCGCACAAGCGGUGGAUGAUGUGGAUUAAUUCGAUGCAAGCGAAAAACCUUACCUACCCUUGACAUGUCUGGAACCUUGCCGAGAGGCAGGGUGCCUUCGGGAGCCAGAACACAGGUGCUGCAUGGCUGUCGUCAGCCGUGUCGUGAGAUGUUGGGUUAAGUCCCGCAACGAGCGCAACCCUUGUCCUAGUUGCCAUCAUUUGGUUGGGCACUCUAGUGAGACUGCCGGUGACAACCGGAGGAAGGUGGGGAUGACGUCAAGUCCUCAUGGCCCUUAUGGGUAGGCUUCACACGUCAUACAAUGGUCGGUACAGAGGGUUGCCAAGCCGCGAGUGGAGCCAAUCCCAAAAAGCCGAUCGUAGUCCGGAUCGUAGUCUGCAACCGACUACGUGAAGUCGGAAUCGCUAGUAAUCGCAGAUCAGCAUGCUGCGUGAAUACGUUCCCGGGUCUUGUACACACCGCCCGUCACACCAUGGGAGUGGUUUCACCAGAAGUAGGUAGCUUAACCUUCGGGAGGGCGCUUACCACGUGAGAUUCAUGACUGGGGUGAAGUCGUAACAAGGUAGCCGUAUCGGAAGUGCGGCUGGAUCACCUC